GCUGCUGCGUGCAUGUUGCAGCUCCUAUGUUGGAUAAUUUCAAUGGUUCCGUGGUUAAAAUAAACAUAUAAAAUAUUUUUAUGCUUAUAUCGAUCUAUAGAUACUAUCGAUCAUAAAUAAUUUGACUCUUUAUAUUAUUCAGCACCCUACCUCCGCCAGUUUGUUUUUUGAUAUAAUAAUAUUGUCAAAAGGUGACGGCAUGAUGAAAUUAUGGAUCUGACAGAUUGCCACUCAUGUAAGAUGCUGAAAGCCCCACCAUUUAGGGGGAGAUGUUGUCCUUUACUGGCGACGACUUCUAGCUUGGUGUCACACCGGCUGACUGUUAUGGAAGAAACCCACUGCGACUUUCCGGUUUCUUCUGAAGAAGUUCCUAGAUUCCUCUUAUCAAAUCCCUCUGGUCUUUACCUCAGGAUCACAUAGCACGGCUGGAAACAUCCAACUUCCUCAUACCUGCGAACCUGUCCGUCCUCCACCACCCGGCAGUUGUCCCUCUGGACAGUCUCAAGAUCUUCCCGGCGCUAAUACUCUUCCCCACACGGGCCGGCUCCAGCCUCAGUCUGCCUUCUCCCCCCACAAAUUUUUUUCUCCGCACCACCAUACCGUCCCAAACUCCUGGCUCCUCGAUCUCCCAGACUGAAGACUCGCAUUCAUAAUCACCUUUGUACAAUACACUUAUCUUUUAUCACCUGCCUACUGAAUCUGUUCUGCAUGUGGGCAAAGAACACCCAAAACCAUGACAUUAAUGUUUUGACACAAAAUCAAACAUUGCUUAGAGAGCAACAUGUAACUCACAGGUUUGAUAUGACAGUGAUUCUAAAUUUUAUUGUAUUAUUAAAAGAAGAGAAAAAAACUCUACUUUAAAUGACUGACACCAAAAGAGAACCAAGACCCCCAUGAUGACUGCAGAGAAGCUCAGAUCAGAUGGGAGGAUCAGGAACACAGCAAACGUGGAAGAAGGUGCUCAUCAGCUAAAACCAUUAACUGGACCUUUGGUCUUGUAAACUCUGUGAGGCAGAAAUAAAGAAAAAUCACCUGUGGCAGAAUCAUGACGUACAGACAAGAUGGUCAUGAUGAUCAUGUCAGAGGCUACUAAAGACUGGGGUAGAUGUUCCUCUUCUAGUAUUGUAGCGAUAGCAAGACUUGAAAGCUGAUGCUUUCCAUCUAAUCUGAGAUUUAGCUAUUUAGCAAGGAAGAAUAUCCAUCUUUUUUUUAUAUCAGCAGAAAUCCUAACACCAGAACAGGAGCAUUUUUGGCUGACAAGUUCAAAAUUAAAAGGUUUUCUCUGUGGUGCAUGGAAAGAAAGGCCAAAGAAUAUAGCAGGUAUGUUUUGAAAAUUAUCUUAACAUUUUAGAAAAGAAUUAUUUGUACAAAAGUCUGAGCUGAGAUGGUUCCA
This is a long non-coding RNA of Xiphophorus couchianus (Monterrey platyfish), 1393 nucleotides long. RefSeq lists it as uncharacterized. NCBI's taxonomy places the organism in Eukaryota, Metazoa, Chordata, Actinopteri, Cyprinodontiformes, Poeciliidae. The transcript has 3 exons. The record is from RefSeq and is a predicted model, not a curated record.